Molecule: non-coding RNA, 716 nt
Organism: Paramisgurnus dabryanus
Lineage: Eukaryota; Metazoa; Chordata; Actinopteri; Cypriniformes; Cobitidae
Source: RefSeq, a predicted model, not a curated record
UAGACGCUGUCUCUUUAGAUGCGAGGGCAAAAUAGCACUUUAUGGACUUCCACAGAGGACAUCAUGUUUAAUACGGUUCCGGAAAAAUCCAGUCAGAAGUUGUUCACGGAGUUUUCACAAUAACUGCUUCUCAUGAACCGAAGCUGGAUUUGCGCGACGUCUCCUCCUGAAAGUUGGAUUACUGUGCACUUCUGGAUCACAGGCUAUUCGCAGCUGGACACAUCCUUCUACACUGUAUGCAAACAUGCAACAUCAUUACACACAGUACAAGGAGUCAGACUGGCAUAUGAGGAGCAAAUGUUGUACCUUGCAGCCAUCCAUUACAAUGUCACCAAGCCAUAACAAAAGCAGGAGAGGGAAAGUACAAGGCUGUGUUCCCAAAACACACAAGUGACAUACCUUAUGUGGAGGAUGUGAUCAGGCUUGUGUUUGAUGAGGUAUUUGAAGAUAAGCUGAAGGAAACCCCGAUUCCAAUGGACCUGGCAUCACAGUUUGAGAGACCUUCAAAGGAGGACGUGAUUGCAUGCCAUCUUCAGUGCAGGGGUCGUCGAAAGCCAAAAUUGUGACCAAUCUGAUCAGGAAGCUCCAAGCAUAUCUGGAGAACAACACACGACAGGAUGAUAACCUUAUAGUGUCGUCUUAAAUAGCACCAGCUGACAAAGCUUUGAUAUGCCAUUUAUCUGAAUAGAUAGCUGCAAGAAAUGAAUUGAACAAUU